Molecule: non-coding RNA, 72 nt
Organism: Heteronotia binoei (common prickly gecko)
Lineage: Eukaryota; Metazoa; Chordata; Lepidosauria; Squamata; Gekkonidae
Source: the annotation of a RefSeq genome assembly
GGGGCUGUAGCUCAGAGGCAGAGCAUCUGCUUAACAUGCAGAAAGUCCCAGGUUCAAUCCCUGGUAUCUCCA